Molecule: transfer RNA, 70 nt
Filed under: Runaria sp. 'striata'
Lineage: Eukaryota; Metazoa; Arthropoda; Insecta; Hymenoptera; Blasticotomidae
Description: tRNA-Tyr
Source: RNAcentral
GAUGAAGUGACUGAAUUAAAAGUGAUAAAUUGUAAAUUUAUUUAUGAAUAUUAUAUAUAUUCCUUUAUUA